AGAGUUUGAUCAUGGCUCAGAUUGAACGCUGGCGGUAUGCUUAACACAUGCAAGUCGAACGCGAAAGCACCUUCGGGUGUAAGUAGAGUGGCGGACGGGUGAGUAAGGCAUGGGAAUCUGCCCUAUAGCGGGGGAUAACUUGGGGAAACCCAAGCUAAUACCGCAUACACCUACGGGUAAAAGAUGGCCUCUUCUUGAAAGCUAUUACUAUAGGAUGAGCCCAUGUAAGAUUAGCUAGUUGGUAGGGUAAAAGCCUACCAAGGCUACGAUCUUUAGCUGGUCUGAGAGGACGAUCAGCCACACUGGGACUGAGACACGACCCAGACUCCUACGGGAGGCAGCAGUGGGGAAUAUUGGACAAUGGGGGCAACCCUGAUCCAGCAAUACCGCGUGUGUGAAGAAGGCCUGCGGGUUGUAAAGCACUUUUAUCUGUGAGGAAGGGUUUAAUGUUAAUACCAUUAGACAU
RNAcentral lists this ribosomal RNA (466 nucleotides) under uncultured bacterium. Its description in RNAcentral is "bacterial SSU rRNA". It matches the Rfam family "Bacterial small subunit ribosomal RNA", at positions 8 to 475 of the family's 1533-position model. The record is from RNAcentral.